This is a non-coding RNA of Cricetulus griseus (Chinese hamster), 956 nucleotides long. The record is from RefSeq and is a predicted model, not a curated record. NCBI's taxonomy places the organism in Eukaryota, Metazoa, Chordata, Mammalia, Rodentia, Cricetidae.
GCUGUCAUCUUGGAUCCUGGCCUUUCCCCCAGUGCAGCCAGGUGGAGCACACCAGCCCGGAGACCCAGUCAGUCUGAAUUCUAAUCCUGCCUCCACCCUGUAGUGACUUGGACAAGUAAAACUUCACUGGUCUCAGUUUCCUCAUCUGUGAAGUGACACAAUGACAAGCCGGGCCUCCAAGGACUGUGAAGAUUCAGUCAAUUACCUGUUAGUCUUCAAGCAACCUGCCGAAAUAAACACCAUGAUUUCCAUUUUAUAGAGGGAGAAAGAGAAAAAGUUGAGUUCUCUAAGGUCACAGAAUAAAGAGCAAGCAGGAGCAACCCGAGUGGAGCUGCCUGCAGCCCAUGCACUUGCCGGUACAACCUGGAGUCCCUGGCGGAGGAUAUGGGAUGCACCUUAACUUAGCAGAUGUCUUUGGAGCACUGGUUAGACCAACCCCAUGCUAGGCACCAAGGAUCCAGGAUCUCACCAAGCAGAAGAGGGGCCAGAUGACAAUCGAGGAACCAGAACCUCAUUGCAAGUAUGAGAAGAGCUGAAGGGAAGAGUGAAACUAGACACAGAGAGAUGUCAGCCCCAGAGACCCAGGGACACCACCUCAAAUGGGUCAUGGGUCAAAGUCAUGGGAAAUCACCUAAGUUUUGAGUGGCAAAAUAAGGGUAAAUGUUGGGAAGAUCACUCCACUUGGAAGGAAUGGCCGGUGCAAAGACCUUGGGGCAUGAUCUACAGAAAGGUGACUUCGGGUUGGUGAGAUGGCUCAGUGGGUAAAGGUGCUUGCCACCAAGCCUGACGUCCUGAGUUUGAUCCUUGAGGUCCAUAUAGUGGAAGGAGAAAAUUGACUCCUGUCAAUUGUCCUUUGACUGGGCCACAUGCAUCCCAUGGCACAUGUGUGGCCUAGCCCUCCUCAAGCAAAUAAAUCAAUAAAUUCAAUGGCAAAAUUAAAAAGAAGGAGGGCUCAG